Molecule: ribosomal RNA, 403 nt
Filed under: Bacteroidota bacterium
Lineage: Bacteria; Pseudomonadati; Bacteroidota
Description: Bacteroidetes bacterium partial 16S ribosomal RNA
Rfam family: Bacterial small subunit ribosomal RNA
Source: RNAcentral
UGGGGAAUUUUGCACAAUGGGGGAAACCCUGAUGCAGCGACGCCGCGUGAUUUAGAAGGCCUUCGGGUUGUAAAAAUCUUUUUUAUGGGAUGAAAAUGACAGUACCAUAAGAAUAAGGUCCGGCUAAAUACGUGCCAGCAGCCGCGGUAAUACGUAGGUGGCAAGCGUUAUCCGGAAUUAUUGGGCGUAAAGCGCGCGUAGGCGGUUUUUUAAGUCUGAUGUGAAAGCCCACGGCUCAACCGUGGAGGGUCAUUGGAAACUGGAAAACUUGAGUGCAGAAGAGGAAAGUGGAAUUCCAUGUGUAGCGGUGAAAUGCGCAGAGAUAUGGAGGAACACCAGUGGCGAAGGCGACUUUCUGGUCUGUAACUGACGCUGAUGUGCGAAAGCGUGGGAAUCAAACAGG